GCACUAAUGAAGAGUUUAAGACUAGGACGAAACAGCUGUCCAGUAC
Molecule: non-coding RNA, 46 nt
Filed under: Trichobilharzia regenti
Lineage: Eukaryota; Metazoa; Platyhelminthes; Trematoda; Strigeidida; Schistosomatidae
Source: RNAcentral